RNAcentral lists this ribosomal RNA (253 nucleotides) under uncultured prokaryote. RNAcentral describes it as "partial 16S ribosomal RNA". It matches the Rfam family "Bacterial small subunit ribosomal RNA", at positions 524 to 776 of the family's 1533-position model. The record is from RNAcentral.
UACGAAGGGGGCUAGCGUUGUUCGGAAUUACUGGGCGUAAAGCGCACGUAGGCGGAUUGCUAAGUCAGGGGUGAAAUCCCGGGGCUCAACCUCGGAACUGCCUUUGAUACUGACAAUCUCGAGUCCGGAAGAGGUGGGUGGAAUUCCUAGUGUAGAGGUGAAAUUCGUAGAUAUUAGGAAGAACACCAGUGGCGAAGGCGGCCCACUGGUCCGGUACUGACGCUGAGGUGCGAAAGCGUGGGGAUCAAACAGG